Molecule: transfer-messenger RNA, 374 nt
Filed under: Bacillota bacterium
Lineage: Bacteria; Bacillati; Bacillota
Rfam family: transfer-messenger RNA
About the family: Bacterial tmRNA, also known as 10Sa RNA or SsrA, is named for its dual tRNA and mRNA-like properties.
Source: RNAcentral
GGGGGUGUCUUUGGUUUCGACAGGAUAAUUGAGUAUAGAUAAGCGAGCCGUGUUUUUUUCUUGGGGUACACGUAAAAGAACUGGGAAAUUAAAUAUAAACGCAAAAAAUGAAAAUAAUUUUGCUUUCGCAGCGUAAUGAAACCCUGCGGCCCUCCUCAAUCCGACGAACUGCUGCCUCAUUUGAGCGACGGGCGCUAUCAAACCUUUUACAGCAGUCGAUGCCGUGAGCGUCUUAGUAACGGCGGGUAUCCAAUAAGACAACCCAUCUUACAAGUUGCCUACCACGAGUAAGAUGGUAUUAGAAUAGGCUGCGCUCGGAGAAAGUUUAUAUAACGUUAUUUUGGACAGGGGUUCAAGUCCCCUCACCUCCACCA